AUUUAUAUAGUUUAAUAUUAAAACAUUACAUUUUCACUGUAAAAAUAAAGAUUUAAUCUUUUAUAGAUA
RNAcentral lists this transfer RNA (69 nucleotides) under Tanypus punctipennis. Its description in RNAcentral is "tRNA-Glu". It matches the Rfam family "tRNA". Rfam says of the family: Transfer RNA (tRNA) molecules are approximately 80 nucleotides in length. Their secondary structure includes four short double-helical elements and three loops (D, anti-codon, and T loops). Lineage: Eukaryota; Metazoa; Arthropoda; Insecta; Diptera; Chironomidae. The record is from RNAcentral.